Molecule: ribosomal RNA, 501 nt
Filed under: uncultured bacterium
Lineage: Bacteria
Description: partial 16S ribosomal RNA
Rfam family: Bacterial small subunit ribosomal RNA
Source: RNAcentral
AUUGAACGCUGGCGGCAGGCUUAACACAUGCAAGUCGAGCGGGGUGAUGGUGCUUGCACUAUCACUUAGCGGCGGACGGGUGAGUAAUGCUUAGGAAUCUGCCUAUUAGUGGGGGACAACAUCUCGGAAGGGAUGCGAAUACCGCAUACGUCCUACGGGAGAAAGCAGGGGAUCUUCGGACCUUGCGCUAUAGAUGAGCCUAAGUCGGAUUCGCUAGGUAGGGGGGGUAAAGGCCUAACAAGGCGACGAUCUGUAGCGGGUCUGAGAGGGUGAUCCGCCACACAUGGGCAGAGACACGGCCCAGACGCCUACGGGGGGCAGCAGUGGGGAAUAUUGGACAAUGGGGGAAACCCUGAUCCAGCCAUGCCGCGUGUGUGAAGAAGGCCUUAUGGUUGUAAAGCACUUUAAGCGAGGAGGAGGCUACUGAGACUAGUACUCUUGGAUAGUGGACGUUACUCGCAGAAUAAGCACCGGCUAACUCUGUGCCAGCAGCCGCAGUAA